Molecule: ribosomal RNA, 500 nt
Filed under: uncultured bacterium
Lineage: Bacteria
Description: bacterial SSU rRNA
Rfam family: Bacterial small subunit ribosomal RNA
Source: RNAcentral
CGGGAGGCAGCAGUGGGGAAUUUUGGACAAUGGGCGCAAGCCUGAUCCAGCAAUGCCGCGUGCAGGAAGAAGGCCUUCGGGUUGUAAACUGCUUUUGUACGGAACGAAACGGUCCUGGUUAAUACCCGGGGCUAAUGACGGUACCGUAAGAAUAAGCACCGGCUAACUACGUGCCAGCAGCCGCGGUAAUACGUAGGGUGCAAGCGUUAAUCGGAAUUACUGGGCGUAAAGCGUGCGCAGGCGGUUUUGUAAGACAGGCGUGAAAUCCCCGGGCUCAACCUGGGAAUUGCGCUUGUGACUGCAAAGCUGGAGUGCGGCAGAGGGGGAUGGAAUUCCGCGUGUAGCAGUGAAAUGCGUAGAUAUGCGGAGGAACACCGAUGGCGAAGGCAAUCCCCUGGGCCUGCACUGACGCUCAUGCACGAAAGCGUGGGGAGCAAACAGGAUUAGAUACCCUGGUAGUCCACGCCCUAAACGAUGUCAACUGGUUGUUGGGUCUCUUC